GAUGAACGCUGGCGGCGUGCCUAAUACAUGCAAGUCGAGCGAACAGACGAGGAGCUUGCUCCUCUGACGUUAGCGGCGGACGGGUGAGUAACACGUGGAUAACCUACCUAUAAGACUGGGAUAACUUCGGGAAACCGGAGCUAAUACCGGAUAAUAUAUUGAACCGCAUGGUUCAAUAGUGAAAGACGGUUUUGCUGUCACUUAUAGGUGGAUCCGCGCCGCAUUAGCUAGUUGGUAAGGUAACGGCUUACCAAGGCGACGAUGCGUAGCCGACCUGAGAGGGUGAUCGGCCACACUGGAACUGAGACACGGUCCAGACUCCUACGGGAGGCAGCAGUAGGGAAUCUUCCGCAAUGGGCGAAAGCCUGACGGAGCAACGCCGCGUGAGUGAUGAAGGUCAUCGGAUCGUAAAACUCUGUUAUUAGGGAAGAACAAAUGUGUAAGUAACUAUGCACGUCUUGACGGUACCUAAUCAGAAAGCCACGGCUAACUACGUG
RNAcentral lists this ribosomal RNA (497 nucleotides) under uncultured bacterium. Its description in RNAcentral is "partial 16S ribosomal RNA". It matches the Rfam family "Bacterial small subunit ribosomal RNA", at positions 28 to 507 of the family's 1533-position model. The record is from RNAcentral.